CAUGCUGUCAAGUUCGCUUGAAGCACGUGUUUUCCAGUAAUGACGUUGGGAAAGCAGUCUUGACAACUUCCUUAAACGUUUGUUCAAGUACAUAAUGUAUUUAACUUAAGUUUUGUGCGCUUUCGUUGACAAAAAUAGGAUAUAACAUCACGGAUUUACAGAUCUUGUCAGUCACCAUGGUGUAGGGGUGACUUAUGAAUUGUGAAUUUUUGAAGAACCCAUCCAAUAAAGGAAGUUUACAGCAGCCAAAAGAAAUUAUGAUGUGGGUAACAAAGAACUCUUGUCCAUGAAAGCAGCAAUCAAAAAGCUGCGUCUCUGGCUAAAGGGAGCCGUACACCCAU
This is a long non-coding RNA of Puntigrus tetrazona (Sumatra barb), 341 nucleotides long. RefSeq lists it as uncharacterized. Lineage: Eukaryota; Metazoa; Chordata; Actinopteri; Cypriniformes; Cyprinidae. The record is from RefSeq and is a predicted model, not a curated record. The transcript has 3 exons.